This 600-nucleotide ribosomal RNA is filed under the name Idiomarina baltica OS145. Its description in RNAcentral is "bacterial LSU rRNA". It matches the Rfam family "Bacterial large subunit ribosomal RNA", at positions 2340 to 2925 of the family's 2925-position model. Lineage: Bacteria; Pseudomonadati; Pseudomonadota; Gammaproteobacteria; Alteromonadales; Idiomarinaceae. The record is from RNAcentral.
GUACGGUUAGUGUAAUGGCAGAAGCCAGCUUAACUGCGAGACAGACACGUCGAGCAGAUACGAAAGUAGGUCAUAGUGAUCCGGUGGUUCUGAAUGGAAGGGCCAUCGCUCAACGGAUAAAAGGUACUCCGGGGAUAACAGGCUGAUACCGCCCAAGAGUUCAUAUCGACGGCGGUGUUUGGCACCUCGAUGUCGGCUCAUCACAUCCUGGGGCUGAAGUCGGUCCCAAGGGUAUGGCUGUUCGCCAUUUAAAGUGGUACGCGAGCUGGGUUUAGAACGUCGUGAGACAGUUCGGUCCCUAUCUGCCGUGGGCGUUUGAGAGUUGAGAGGAGCUGCUCCUAGUACGAGAGGACCGGAGUGGACGAACCUCUGGUGUUCCGGUUGUCACGCCAGUGGCACUGCCGGGUAGCUAAGUUCGGAAUCGAUAACCGCUGAAAGCAUCUAAGCGGGAAGCGAGCCUCGAGAUAAGCUCUCACUAGCACAUUAAGUGCUCUGAAGGGUCGUUGCAGACGACGACGUUGAUAGGCGGGGUGUGGAAGCGUUGUAAGGCGUUGAGCUAACCCGUACUAAUUGCCCGUGAGACUUAACCAUACAACACCC